AAGGAGGCCUGGCUUUGAACAGCUCUCCCAGGCCCUGUGGAAACUGCUGCCCGGGGACAAUGCUUUGAGCGCUGGCUGCACAUGUCUCUACCAAGUCACUUUCCCUUGGACCAGACAUCAACUUCAAGGAAGAACAGUGUUCUGGAUCUGACCACAGGCUGGUGUCACCUGAUUUGGCCUGACUGGUUACCUGCGUACAGAGGAGCUGACAUUCACCAUAUGGUUUGCUCUGCUGCAGGCUCUUCUAUGAGACCUGAGAUGAGAGUUGUAACAGCCUCUUGAGACCAGAAUCUCUCCCUCUGGGCCGAGGCACCUAAGAAGAAAAGAUCUGAGCCAGUGGUUGGUCUAGGGGUCCACACACACCACGUAAGACCCCCGGAGUGGAGGAGAGGAUAAAACUAUGGCUGAGACAAACCUCAAGUGACUGUGGCCAGCUGCUCAUGGCCUGCGGGACUCUG
Long non-coding RNA from Phyllostomus hastatus (greater spear-nosed bat), 458 nucleotides. RefSeq lists it as uncharacterized. Lineage: Eukaryota; Metazoa; Chordata; Mammalia; Chiroptera; Phyllostomidae. The transcript is spliced from 3 exons. The record is from RefSeq and is a predicted model, not a curated record.